This is a long non-coding RNA of Taeniopygia guttata (zebra finch), 1556 nucleotides long. The record is from Ensembl. NCBI's taxonomy places the organism in Eukaryota, Metazoa, Chordata, Aves, Passeriformes, Estrildidae.
CAAACUCAACAACUAAGGAAAUAUUUGCAGCAGAAAGCAAAAAUUAAUAUUUAAGAUGAUUGUUUCUUUUCAAGCGACAGACAAAAGGCUACAGAGGCCUAUGAACAGAAAGGGGAUUAAUGUAAGAAAUAGAAUGGUCAGACUCCUAGACUGUUAAUUUGACAAUUAUUAACAGCUUUAUCUAUGUUCAUAAAAAAAUCCUGUGGAAGUGGAUUUCUUUCCCACUCAGAAACAGUAAUGCUUCAGACUGAAGUUUAAGCAUAUUUCAUUUAUAAAUUUCUAAACCAAAUUAAUUUAAUCCACAACCAAGAUUACAAUAAUUCCUACCACUUCCUCUAAGACAGAGGAAUGUUUUUCAUCAAUAAAUAUUGAGGCAGAGUAAUGAUCUAAGGUAGGGUGAAUGUUAAAAAGUAAGAUGCUUAUGGUUUAUGGGUGUGAACACAGUUGAAGUAAUCUUAGUAUUAUAAGGGUUAUAAAAAAUAUAAUAAGAAAUAAUACUAUAAUACUAUAAUAUAAUAAUAAAUACAUAUAGUAUUUAUUGUCACAGGGAUAAUAGCUAGCAACAGGUGCUUCUCAUCUCUACGUUAGGCAUCUGAGGGUCUGCAGGUGUCUUUGCAUACUGUAUGGGAGGAAAUACUCACUUUUCCAUAGUGACCACUGUCCAUUUCCAUCUUCAGUGUGAUUUCCACAGCAAGGUACUUGUUUUAUACAAAAGCUACUUCAGCUCAGUUUACUUUGCCUGAACUCUGGUUUUUCAGUACUUGUGAGCUGCAUGUCAUAGCAGCACUCAGUGAUAUUAACCUAUAGUUUAUUGGUUCAGCACUCAUCAAUCAAACCUUGUCCACAUCCUCUCUACAAAGAAAGGAAAAGGAAAUGGAGAUGUGCUUCCUCUGAGAGUGUCUCCACCUGUGUUGCUAUAACUGGCAAGAGAGCAACUGUCAGCCAUCACUGAGAUGCAUUACUUUUAUUGGCCCUAUUAACAGAGCCGUACCUGCUUCAUUUUUGUUGACUGCCUCUGUGCUCAUGCAAGAAUUGGUGGAUGUGGUGCACACCAAAUACUUCCAGCCAACCUUACAGGAUUUUGUCAGCACUGAGAAUGGUCCCCGACACCUGAAGCAGGAGGGUCGUUCAGAAAAAGCUCCCUGAACUUUGAACCAUAUCUGCAAAGUGAGAUAAACAAGAGCCAUAUAAAUACCACAGCUCUUUUCCCCACACUGUUUCCUUCUGCAGCAGAGCCAGGCAGAGCUGCCAAGAAGGGGGAGGAGGAAAGGGUAAGUGUGCUGGAUUUGCUGUGAAAGAGCUUCAUGACUUAAGAUUUGGCAGAGUGUUUGCUUGUUUCUUUAGCUGAAAAGGCUGACUGUGGAAAUUUCCAUCGGAAACUAAGUUGAAACUUGAAAUAUGAAGUAUAAGACAUGGCUCUCCUGCAGCUCACAGGGCAGACAGCUGUUGCUGGGUGCUGCAUGCCAGUGCUGCAGAAGGCUGCUGUAAAGACAAGAAAGGAUAUCAAAAUGUCGUGAGAGUCUCAUGUGCUCAUAAUAGUUAAAAAGGAAGGCUGC